CCUACGGGAGGCAGCAGUGAGGAAUAUUGGUCAAUGGGCGGGAGCCUGAACCAGCCAUGCAGCGUGAAGGCGAGUGCCCUACGGGCGUUAAACUUCUUUUGUGCGGGAGCAAAAAGGGCCACGCGUGGCACGAUGAGAGUACCGCACGAAUAAGCAUCGGCUAACCCCGUGCCAGCAGCCGCGGUAAUACGGGGGAUGCGAGCGUUAUCCGGAUUUAUUGGGUGUAAAGGGUGCGUAGGAGGAGCUUCAGGGUAGGUGUGAAAUACCUGGGCUCAACCCCGGAGCUGCCGUUGAAACCGGAACGCUAGAAUUCCGAUGACGUCGGAGGAAUGUGUGGUGUAGCGGUGAAAUGCAUAGAUAUCACACAGAACACCGAUUGCGAAGGCAUCUGACGAAUCGGAGAUUGACGCUGAUGCACGAAAGCGUGGGUAUCGAACAGGAUUAGAUACCCCUGUAGUC
This 459-nucleotide ribosomal RNA is filed under the name uncultured bacterium. RNAcentral describes it as "partial 16S ribosomal RNA". It matches the Rfam family "Bacterial small subunit ribosomal RNA", at positions 338 to 795 of the family's 1533-position model. The record is from RNAcentral.